GUGCCAGCAGCCGCGGUAAUACCGGCAGCUCGAGUGAUGGCCGAUUUUAUUGGGCCUAAAGCGUCCGUAGCUGGCCGCGCAAGUCCAUCGGGAAAUCCACCUGCUCAACAGGUGGGCGCCCGGUGGAAACUGUGCGGCUUGGGACCGGAAGGCGCGACGGGUACGUCCGGGGUAGGGGUGAAAUCCCGUAAUCCUGGACGGACCGCCGGUGGCGAAAGCACGUCGCGAGAACGGGUCCGACAGUGAGGGACGAAAGCCAGGGUCUCGAACCGGAUUAGAUACCCCGGUAGUCC
This 293-nucleotide ribosomal RNA is filed under the name uncultured bacterium. RNAcentral's name for it is "partial 16S ribosomal RNA". It matches the Rfam family "Archaeal small subunit ribosomal RNA", at positions 455 to 747 of the family's 1478-position model. The record is from RNAcentral.